AAUUUCACCGCCUUUCUCUUCCUCUUUGUUUCGAUUGAGCCAAAAUGAGAAGACAGGCUCCUUGACAAGACCCUGUUUGACCAUGUUGUACCAUACUGGAACAGCAUUUCCAACAGAAAUCUCACGGAAUCCAAGACCCAAUAUACCAUCAAACUUGGCUACCAAAAAUGUCACACUGGGUUCCCUGGUUGCCUCAAUGAACUCCUGAUUUUUCACAACAAGGUCACCAACUUUGACGUUAUCUUGACUGAAGAAUCCAGAUAUUGCUCCAGUGCCAUAAUGAAUUGCAGCAGAUGUCCCAUUUUUCUUAUAAGUACUUGAUUGGCUGGACUUAUACUUGGAAUGGAAAAGGCAGGGGACUGAGAAGUAACACUUUGCUGAAGGCACCCACAAAUUAGAGCUACCAGUAUCAAAGAUCACAGUGAACUUCUGAGGGGGAGUGCCUACACCAAUCUCUCCAAAGUACUGAGCAUCCAUAUAGUUCUUUAGUGCUACAAUAUCUGUAUCCUCAGAUACCCCAAGAUCACCACGGAAGUUGUACUUCCUAAUAGAGGCCCGCAAAGCCUCCGCCUCCUUGGAUUCUAAGCGAGCAGCAAGCCGGUUGUUUUGAUCAUAUUUGAUCUUUUUCAAACCAAUUCUAACCAAGCCAUCAUUUGAUGUAGAGAAGGCCAGAGGAAAUAACAGCGUUGAGAGAAAAAAGGCAACAAGAAAGGCUUUUACUCCCAUAUUGACCAGUUUGAUGAAUCAAGAAAAAGAGAAAAAG
Molecule: unclassified non-coding RNA, 763 nt
Filed under: Hevea brasiliensis (rubber tree)
Lineage: Eukaryota; Viridiplantae; Streptophyta; Magnoliopsida; Malpighiales; Euphorbiaceae
Source: RNAcentral